GAUCUAUUAGCUUAGUUGGUUAGAAUGUCACGCUAAUAACAUGAAAGUCACAUGUUUGAUUCUUGUUUGGGUCA
Molecule: non-coding RNA, 74 nt
Organism: Glycine max (soybean)
Lineage: Eukaryota; Viridiplantae; Streptophyta; Magnoliopsida; Fabales; Fabaceae
Source: Rfam